UACGUAGGUGACAAGCGUUGUCCGGAUUUACUGGGCGUAAAGGGCGCGUAGGCGGCAAUUCAAGUCAGUUGUGAAAUCUCCGAGCUUAACUCGGAACGGUCAACUGAUACUGUUUUGCUAGAGUACAGAAGGGGCAAUCGGAAUUCUUGGUGUAGCGGUGAAAUGCGUAGAUAUCAAGAGGAACACCUGAGGUGAAGACGGGUUGCUGGGCUGAUACUGACGCUGAGGCGCGAAAGCUAGGGUAGCAAACGGG
RNAcentral lists this ribosomal RNA (253 nucleotides) under uncultured bacterium. Its description in RNAcentral is "partial 16S ribosomal RNA". It matches the Rfam family "Bacterial small subunit ribosomal RNA", at positions 524 to 776 of the family's 1533-position model. The record is from RNAcentral.